RNAcentral lists this ribosomal RNA (465 nucleotides) under uncultured bacterium. RNAcentral describes it as "partial 16S ribosomal RNA". It matches the Rfam family "Bacterial small subunit ribosomal RNA", at positions 28 to 506 of the family's 1533-position model. The record is from RNAcentral.
GACGAACGCUGGCGGCGCGCCUAACACAUGCAAGUCGAACGAGCGAGCGAGAGCUUGCUUUCUUGAGCGAGUGGCGAACGGGUGAGUAACGCGUGAGGAACCUGCCUCAAAGAGGGGGACAACAGUUGGAAACGACUGCUAAUACCGCAUAAGCCCACGGUGCCGCAUGGCACAGAGGGAAAAGGAGCAAUCCGCUUUGAGAUGGCCUCGCGUCCGAUUAGCUAGUUGGUGAGGUAACGGCCCACCAAGGCGACGAUCGGUAGCCGGACUGAGAGGUUGAACGGCCAAAUUGGGACUGAGACACGGCCCAGACCCCUGCGGGGGGCGGCAGGGGGGAAUAUUGCACAAUGGGGGAACCCCUGAGGCGGCGGGGCCGGGGGGAGGAAGAAGGUUUUCGGAUUGUAAACCCCUUUUUGUGGGGAAGAUAAGGACGGUACCAAACAAGGAAGGGACGGCAAACUCCGG